RNAcentral lists this ribosomal RNA (470 nucleotides) under uncultured bacterium. RNAcentral describes it as "bacterial SSU rRNA". It matches the Rfam family "Bacterial small subunit ribosomal RNA", at positions 28 to 507 of the family's 1533-position model. The record is from RNAcentral.
GAUGAACGCUGGCGGCGUGCUUAACACAUGCAAGUCGAACGGAUUUAACAGAAAGCUUGCUUUCGGUUAAAUUAGUGGCGGACGGGUGAGUAACGCGUGGAUAACCUGCCGUAUACAGGGGGAUAACACUUAGAAAUAGGUGCUAAUACCGCAUAAGCGCACAGUUUCGCAUGAGACAGUGUGAAAAACUCCGGUGGUAUACGAUGGAUCCGCGUCUGAUUAGGUAGUUGGUGGGGUAACGGCCCACCAAGCCGACGAUCGGUAGCCGAACUGAGAGGUUGAACGGCCACAUUGGAACUGAGAUACGGUCCAGACUCCUACGGGAGGCAGCAGUGGGGAAUAUUGGGCAAUGGGCGAAAGCCUGACCCAGCGACGCCGCGUGAGGGAAGAAGGUCUUCGGAUUGUAAACCUUGUUGACAGGGAAGAAACAAAUGACGUAACCUGUCGAGGAAGCCACGGCUAACUACGUG